This 73-nucleotide transfer RNA is filed under the name Paramuricea clavata. It matches the Rfam family "tRNA". From Rfam's summary of the family: Transfer RNA (tRNA) molecules are approximately 80 nucleotides in length. Their secondary structure includes four short double-helical elements and three loops (D, anti-codon, and T loops). Lineage: Eukaryota; Metazoa; Cnidaria; Anthozoa; Malacalcyonacea; Plexauridae. The record is from Rfam by way of RNAcentral.
GCCUCUGUAGCACAGUUGGUUAGAGCGCUGCACCGGAAUCGCAGGGCCGUAGGUUCAAUUCCUACCAGAGGAC